This 253-nucleotide ribosomal RNA is filed under the name uncultured bacterium. RNAcentral describes it as "partial 16S ribosomal RNA". It matches the Rfam family "Bacterial small subunit ribosomal RNA", at positions 524 to 776 of the family's 1533-position model. The record is from RNAcentral.
AACGUAGGAGGCAAGCGUUAUCCGGAGUUACUGGGCGUAAAGCGCGUGUAGGUGGAUUGGUAAGUUACUUAUAAAAGCCCCUGGCUAAACUAGGGGAGGUUGGGUGAUACUGCCAGUCUUGAAUAGAGGAGAGGUUGACGGAAUUCCGCGUGUAGUGGUGAAAUGCGUAGAUAUCAAGAGGAACACCUGAGGUGAAGACGGGUUGCUGGGCUGACACUGACGCUGAGGCGCGAAAGCCAGGGGAGCAAACGGG